RNAcentral lists this ribosomal RNA (496 nucleotides) under uncultured bacterium. RNAcentral's name for it is "partial 16S ribosomal RNA". It matches the Rfam family "Bacterial small subunit ribosomal RNA", at positions 28 to 506 of the family's 1533-position model. The record is from RNAcentral.
GAUGAACGCUGGCGGCGUGCCUAAUACAUGCAAGUCGAGCGAACAGACGAGGAGCUUGCUCCUCUGACGUUAGCGGCGGACGGGUGAGUAACACGUGGAUAACCUACCUAUAAGACUGGGAUAACUUCGGGAAACCGGAGCUAAUACCGGAUAAUAUAUUGAACCGCAUGGUUCAAUAGUGAAAGACGGUUUUGCUGUCACUUAUAGAUGGAUCCGCGCCGCAUUAGCUAGUUGGUAAGGUAACGGCUUACCAAGGCGACGAUGCGUAGCCGACCUGAGAGGGUGAUCGGCCACACUGGACCUGAGACACGGUCCAGACUCCUACGGGAGGCAGCAGUAGGGAAUCUUCCGCAAUGGGCGAAAGCCUGACGGAGCAACGCCGCGUGAGUGAUGAAGGUCUUCGGAUCGUAAAACUCUGUUAUUAGGGAAGAACAAAUGUGUAAGCAACUAUGCACGUCUUGACGGUACCUAAUCAGAAAGCCACGGCUAACUACGU